CAUCCCGACGGUGCAAAAGGCAGUAGCAACCAAACACAUCACCAACUGAAUCUCCAUCACAAGGGCGUAGCUGAUCUCUUGCUUUGCCUUCUUGUACGUUAGUUCCACCAAAGGCAAUAUAAAUCCGUAUAAAGCCGCUGCAGCUAAGGUCAUUACGAACCCCAAAAUAUAUUCCUUGUUGGAUUCAUUCGCAGGCCGGUCGCUGCUCGAAUGCAAAGCCAGAACGCCAGCCCCUAUGGUCAACAAAAACACGGCGUUUAUGGAGUAGGCAGUGAACUUUUGUUUCACCAACAGGAAAGCAAACCCCGCCGUGAAAGCCAACUGCGACGCGAUGAUCAAAGAAGAAGUCGAAACGGGGAGACGAGAUAAGCCAUAGGAGUAGAAGUAGUUAUCGAGGCCACUGAGGAUCCCGAGGACGAUAGCGGCAAUGAACAACGGUCGUUCCAUACAGAAAACCUUGUUUUCCGAGGUGGGAUCGGCCGUCCUCGAACGAUGCACGUAAGCACAAGCGAUGGGGAGCAAGAUGAUGGGGCAACCCGCAGUCUGGAGCCAGCUCGAGAACCAGAUUCGGUUGCCACCAUGGAUGAAGUAGAGACGGGUGAUAAGUGGACCACCGCAGUUGCCUAUAGAAAGGAUGAUGCAGUUUAUUACUAAGAGAGCUUUUCUUAUGGUGCCGCCAUCCUUCACCUCCAUGAUUAAUUUAUCUGUUUUGUAUUUGGAUAUUUUUGCAUCUCUUUCCUCUGUUUCCAAGGUCUUUGUAGAAUGGAAAAAAGCCAAAGUAAGGAUAAGACAACCAUAUAGCUGCUGUUAUUGACUAAAACUGAAAAAGAAUAGCCUCUUUAGCCAAAGGGAUAUCAACUCGUUGUAUUAAAUUCCAUAAUUUACAUGCAUUUCGAAGCAACUAUAAGUAUUUUAAUCUAUGAUAUAGAUCAUAUUUGAUUUUAAAGAAAAAAUUCAUUCUUAAUCAAUUCGAUUCAUCCAGGGUUUAUCAAAGAGGGUCCAGUUUUUUUUACACCAGAGAAUUUUAUUGUCGAUGCAACGUCUAACAAACAUUCCAUAACUGUUGGUCUUCAUCAGCUCUCAAUAACAGCCAUGAAAUUUUGCGGUCGGGAUACUACUAGCUGCAUAUACAUAAUCCACUCAACUCACCAUAUUCAUUUCGUUUCAAUCUUGAAAUUUUUUAACACUACGCACUGAAUAUACAGUUAAACACUAACUAUUUUAUGCUGCAAUUGUUCUAAACGUUAUAUUACAUAGUAGCAUUAAAGAGGUUCUUUUUGUGUGUGUGUGUGUGUUUAAUAUAAGAAUAUAUUGAAGUCAUCUUUAACUAAUUUUGUCUAGUCUUAGUAUUGUAUCUAAGUAUCAUCUAUAAAUACCUUCACUUGCCACUAAGAUGAGAGUACAUUAUUGUAAUUUAAAUUUUUUAAAAUUUUAACAAAAUUCAGAUGAGAUAAAAUUAGAGGUGUUAUGGGACGAGUUGAGUAGGAUCGAGGUCAAGUUUAAAAAAUUUUCAAGUCAAGACUCACUUUUGGGUCAGUUUGGUCAACCCAAAAGCCCAUUUUACUAUUUUAAAAAUAAUAAAGUAUUAAAUUUUUUAUAUAUUUCUAUAAUUAAAUUUAAACUUAAAAUUUUUUAUUAUUUAAAUUAAAUUUGGGCUCGACCGAAUCAAAAUACAAAAAUCCUUAUCCAAACCUAACGUUGAACAGGUCUAAAUAUAAUUAAUUUAAAAAAUAUAAAAUAUAAUAAAAAUUAAUUUAAAUACUAAAAUUACUUCUUAAAAUACUAUCAAACUAUAGUAAAAUAACUCUAAAUAUGAGAGUUAUCCCACUCCAAAUUAAGAUUUUUGCUAGUCCCUAACAAAAGACAAAGAAAAAACAACAUAAUAAUUUAAACAACUCUAAAUUAAAUCUACUAGUCCUUGAUAUUCUCAAAAAUUGCCUCAAUAUCUUAGAUCCAAAUCCAAUUAAAAGAAUCUUUAUUCACUGUAAUUAAUGCUCAGUUAAAAAGUUAUAAAAUGGUCACUUAAUUAAUCGUGUUUAUCUUUUUUAGUCCAAUUCCAUUAUCUAUUGUUAACUUUGUGACGGAAAGUUGGCACGACAAUUUUUGAAUAAUAUAAUAUUAAAUUUAACCUUUAACGUUUACAAAUUGUAUUAAUUUGAUCUUGGUUCUAAAGAAAUUAAUCAUAAACAUUUAUACAUUAUUUCAAUUUGAUCUCGAUUCUAAAAAAAAUAAAAAAAUACAUAAUUUUUUUUAAAACAAUUUAUAAUAAAUUAAAAAAUGCAUAAAAGUUAUUAAAAUAUAAUAUAAUAUAUAUAAAUACAUAAAAAAUUAUAAGAAAAUAAAAAAAAACUAAAACUUUAUAAUAAUAAUAAAAACUUCGAUAAACAAAAUAAAAAUACACAUAAAACCUAAAAAAAUAAUUCAAAAAAACAAAAAAAAAAAAGAACGUACUAAAAAUUGAUAGCCGAUGAUGAUGAAGUUUAAGAAAUGCCAUUUCUCCAAUCCUCUGGUCCACAAAGUUGAAUUUUCUUUUUAUUACAAAAUAUCACUGAGUUAACUUUACCAACAAAUGACCUAAGCUAAAUACUAGAAUAUAAAUAUCAACCUCCGCUUCAUGCGGAUGACCCUUGGUCCCAUUAAAAUAUUUCUUACUUUGACCGAUUAGUAAGGGUUAAUUUGAUAAUGUUUUUGAAAAGUGCUUUUGAAAAGUGCUGUGAAAAAGUGCUUUUGAGAAGUGCUUUUGAAAAAUUUGGUUUAAAAUUUGAGUGUUUAGCAUUGCUGUUAAAAAGUACUUUUGAGAAAUAAAAUAUCAAUUUUAGACAUGUUAUUAUAAAGUAACAAAUAUGCAUUUAAAUAAUAUUUAAAUUAGUUAAUAUUAUUAUAUUUUAGUAAGAAUAUAAAAAAAUUAUUAUAACUUCUUGUUAAUAUUUUAAUAUAUAAAAUAUAAAUAUUAAUUAUUUAUAAAAUUUAAUUAGAACAUAUAAACUAUAUUUUAAAUAUUUAAAUAUAACUAUUAAAUAUUUGUAAUUAGUAUUUUAAAAAAUAUUUUUUAUUUUUAAUUAAUGAUUUUAACACAUUUGUAAUUAAGCACCAAGAAAAAAAGAGAGAAAGUACUAUGUUAUUGGAGGGGUAAAAAAGUAAUUAAGCAUUAAAAGUGUUUUUGAGGGAUGAAAAGUUAAAAAUUUUAGUUUCUCCUUUUCAAAAGUGCUUUUCAAAAGCACUUUUGAAAAGUUAAAAAUUUCAGCCAAAAGCAGCUUGUUUUGCACAGCUUUUCUUCCAGAAGUACUUUUGAAAAGCAAUGUAGAACUAGCCCUAACUGUGAGUCUUCGGCACCGGUCAGAUACCACUAUCUUUUUUAAUAUUAUAUGUGUAUAUAUAUUAUAUUUAUUAAAAAUAAAAAAAAUUAUAUAUAAUAUACAAAAUAAUUUAAAAAUAAAUUUGAAAAUAUUUCUUAUUAAAUUCUAAUAUAUAAAAUAUGAAAUUUUAAAAAUUCAAAAUAAUAUAUAAAAGAUGAUAAAUAUUUUAAAAAUUAAAAAAAAGUAAUUAAAUUUCAAGUAAUUGUAAAAAAAAAAACUUAAAAUUUAACUUUUUUCUUUGUAUGGGGUUGGCGUUGACUCUUGUUGUCUCCUCAAACAAGCAGUCGUGGAUCCACCAGCUCGCCCCGAAUUACGUGGUAGGUGACAUUUUUGGGAAGAACUGCACCUCAUCCAAUCCCUCAAGAGGUAAUAGUUCUGGAAUUAGAAUCCUAAUUUGGUUUUGAGGAUUUAGUUAGGUCUGCUUUGGAAGAGGGAAAGAGUAACAAUAAAUCUAAUCUAAAGUUUCGAUUUCACCACUUUUCUGGGUUUCAUUUUUCUUUUCGAGAGGGAAAAGUACAAGUGAAAUGAAAAUAUUUAUUAUAAUUUAUUAAAUGUUUUGAAAAUUCCAAUGUUUUCUUAAUUUGUUUUAUAUUUUUUCUGAUUAUUUUAAUUAGGCAAAAUUAAGAUAAUAUUUAAAUGUUGAAGGACUAAUUUUUUAAAAUCAUCACCAAACUAAAAAUAUUGAAAGUUAAAUUUAUAAUUAUAUCAAUUUUAAAACUCCUACAACAUCUCAUGUUACAAAGUUAAUGGUAAGUAACAGAGCUGAUUAAUUAAAUGAUUAUUUUAUAAAUUUUUUAUACUUAAGUGAUAAAAAUAAAAUCUAAACAUCACUUAAAUUUCUCAAAAAUUUAUUAUUUGUUUUACGAAACAUAAUAAAAGCAUAUUUCAUUAAAUUAUAUUAUAUUAUUAUUAUUAUUAUUAUUUGGCCUUAUUUCGAUAACUAAAUUAUCUCUUCCUUAUAGCUUUUGAUCUAAAAUGUUAACUAUAUUAAUAAAAAAAAAGGAACACACUUAAUCAAUGAGCACAAGUAACAUGUUUACUUCUUUUUCAUGUCAUCGAUGAUAUGACUGUUAAUCAAUAAUGUAGUCGUUAAUUGUUAUUGACCAAUAUAUUUUUUAAAAUUUUAAAUUUCUUUAAUAAUUAAAUAUUAAUAAGAUAUGAUUAAUAUGAGAUCCAUAUUUUAAUUUAACCGAAGUAAAUCUAUAAAUUCCAAAAUGGAGAAUUUAGAAUGUAAUGAAUAGUCAUGACAAGGACACUAUGGCAAAGGACAUUUUCUUAUCCAACUAUGCUAUCCAUGAAAUGAAUUCCUAUAAACAACUAAUAGUGGGGAUUACGAUGAAAACGAAUUUCUUCUUAGUUCUUUCCCCUCUCUAAUAUAUUUUUUUUAUUUUUAUUUUGGUAUUUAAUUUUUUUUCUCAAUUUUAUAUCUAAAGUACUAAUCACUUUUUAUUUUGGUGCUUAAAAUAUACUUUUAUUAUAUUUUUAAUUUAUUUUUUGAUAGACGUUAAAAAAAUUUAUAAUCAAGUGACGUCUUUAUAUAAAAAAUAAAUAUUUUUUUAUUAAAUGUAUAUAAACAUUAAAAUAUAAAAAAGUAAAUAAAUAUAUAAAAAAGUAAUAAUAUAUAUAAUAUGAAAAAAAAUAUAAUUUAUUAAAAAAUUUGAUAAUUAAAAAUAAAUUAGUUGAAAUUAAUGAUAUUAUUAUAAAAAAUUGUAAAAAAUUAUAAUUUUUUUAAUUUUUAUAUAAUUAUGAAAUUCUAAAAUUGUAUUUCAAAUUCAAGGGUUUUUUUUUUUAAAAUUACUUGAAAUUUAAAUACAAUUUCCAUUUUUAUAACAUUUAUCAAUUUUUAUAUAUUAUUUUGAAUUUUAAAUAUGCAUACUUUUAUAUUUUAGAAUUUUAUAAAAAUUAUUUUUAAAAUUUUAUUUUAAAUUUUUUAUAUAUUAUAUAUGACAUAUAAUGCACUAAAAUAUAUUAUGUGUAAAUAUUAUAUAUAUAUAUAUAAAUAUUAAUUAAUAAAAUAUAUAUUUAAUUUAAAUUUAAUAAUUCCACAAUUCUCUAUAUAAGUAUUACUUUUACAGCAUUAUCUAUAAUAUAUAUAAAAGUAUGAGUUUAGAAAAACUUUUAAAUUGACCGAGAAUAUCAUUUAUUUUCUAUAAUAUUACUAAAUUAAGUUUAAAAAUAAUUAUAUCUUAAUUUAAAAUUAUUAGUUAAAAGGUUUGCUAAUUUUAAAAUAAGAGUUAUUACUUGCCUAGGGCACUAAACAUAACACAAUAAAUAAUUAUAAUUUAAUUUAAUUUAAUCUACAAUUGACGUAAAAAAAAUUGAAUUAAUCUUAAUUUUUUAAAAUUGUGCUAAUUUUAUGAUUGUAAUUGAAUUAAUCUUGUUAUUCUUUAUGCAAUAUAAAUUCACACAAUUUGCUUUGAUUUACAUACUAUAUAAACUAUAAUCUUGAGUUGGACUUUUUUAUGCAAGCAAAUAGUUCCACCAACUCAAUCCUAAAGCAGAUGACCUAUGAGUAGCAUCGCAGUUUCUAUGAACUGAAUCCCCAUAAAAGAACUAAUAGCCAACCAAACUUGGCACUUGGAAUUUGUUAGGGAUGACUAUGAUCACCAACCCUUAAACACUGCUUUUGAGAGUAUUGGAAGGCAGAGAAGAGGCCAUCUCAAUUUCAGGAUCUGGUUUCUUCUUUUUACUUUGUUUGAUUUCACCAUAAAAGUAGGAAAUGAAGCCCCACAGCGAGAGAGCAAGUGACACACCCUUCUCGGCUUGAAACUUCUCAUUGAAGGAAAAUAUUGCCAAAAUCUCUGUAACUGGUAAUAGAACCGCUAUCACUACACCCGAUAGCAUUGAUGACGCACAAAAUACUACUCCAAUAGCUCCCAAGAAGAAACAUUGAUUUAUUAUUGCAGUAAAAAUCACAACCACAUAGUAUUUUGUUUCUCCUAGCUCGAAUUCCCUUGCUUCCUUUCCGAUCACCUACAAAUAGAAAUAACCUUUCAAGUUAUUACAUACAUGUUCAUUGUAGUUAUAAAGUGAAAUCAUUAUAUUAAAUAAAACCUUUUUAAUUAAGAUUAAUAAACUCGGCUUCAGUUUCCUUCUUAAAAAAGGGUUUAUCAGCAUAGCUACUUGACACUAUAUUAUUUCAUACCCUAUAGGUCAAUUAUGUGGAUUUCAUCAAUUAACAAAUUUAAUUAAUAUUAAACUUUUAAAUUAUAUUUAUUUUUAAGCAUUAAAAACGAAACGUGAGCAUAUGGUUUUCUUUUUGUAUUAAAUUUUGAAAAAAGAAUCAAACUAUAAUGUUAUAAUCAACUGUACAAGAGGGCAGAGAUUAUACUCCCUUAUCGAUAUCAUAAAAAUGAAUUUAGAUUUGAUUUUUUGCAUGCAGAUUGAUAUACUAAAUAUAAAAUAGUUAAUAAGUUUAUAAACUAAAAAAAAAAAAAAAAAACUAUUUCGUCAGACUCACUUGUCCUGAAAGAAGAGGAAUAGCUAAGAAAGAGGCGAAAAAACAAACCUUGAAAUCAUUGUUGACCAGCAUCCCAACGGUGCAAAAGCCAGUAGCAACCAAACACAUCACCAACUGAAUCUCCAUCACAAGGGCGUAGCUGAUCUCUUGCUUUGCCUUCUUGUACGUUAGUUCCACCAAAGGCAAUACAAAUCCGUACAAAGCCGCUGCAGCUAAGGUCAUUACGAACCCCAAAAUAUAUUCCUUGUUGGAUUCAUUCUCAGGCCGGUCGCUGCUCGAAUGCAAAGCCAGAACGCCAGCCCCUAUGGUCAACAAAAACACGGCGUUUAUGGAGUAGGCAGUGAACUUUUGUUUCACCAAC
Molecule: long non-coding RNA, 7177 nt
Filed under: Gossypium barbadense (sea-island cotton)
Lineage: Eukaryota; Viridiplantae; Streptophyta; Magnoliopsida; Malvales; Malvaceae
Description: long non-coding RNA (GBAR_LNC003918)
Source: RNAcentral